This is a long non-coding RNA of Bos mutus (wild yak), 2584 nucleotides long. The record is from Ensembl. NCBI's taxonomy places the organism in Eukaryota, Metazoa, Chordata, Mammalia, Artiodactyla, Bovidae.
AUGUCACUCUCCAGCUUGUUGUGGAGGAUCAGAAUCUGGGCUUCAUCCUCGGCCAGUACCUCAUGUCCCCUUCCUGUAUCACUCAGCCAAUCAGGGCCUGGGAGGCCCAACUUGACUGAUGUUGCCCCCUGUCCCCACCCCGUGCUGACCUACCACCUCCUGAUGGCGGAGCAAACCAGGAACCACACCAUCAGCUCCUGUGGUGUUUACAGUGGAGGGACCUGGAAGAGGACACCUAGACCCAGCCCAGCCUUCCUCUGUGUUAUCACAUUUCAGCAUCUGGAGCGGAACCAGUUGCUUUCAGUUUGCAAGCUUUCUGGACAUGUGUGCCAUUGACAACUAAAGCGUGGUUCACCAAGGUGAGCUUUACCACUGUGUAGGCCAGUUACCUCUGCACAGUUAUUUUAACCUUUUCAGAUUUGGUGGCUUUGGGCUGUGGAAUUUUGAGGAGAAAGGUUUUAUGGGGAGAGGAGCUGUUUUUGAAUAUGUGAUUUACACAUCUUUUCUUUGUAGAAUUUUUACAGAAAUUGAUUUGAAACCUGAGCUACCUUGAAAUGUAAAAGUAAGAACCCUCUGUUGUUCAAAAAUUGGCCAAAGCAGAAUAGGUUUGUCCCCAGAAUCUUCUUCUGAAUUUUGUUCAGAACUCUGUUCCUUUGAAUUCAUGAAACCCGGUUUCUGUUUUCAGUUCCUAGUUCCACUUGAUUGCUGUUAUCUUGGCACUACUCUUUGUUUACCCAAGUUCUGACAUUUUUACCCCAGAAUUAAUUACCCCAGAUGGUCUGCUCUGCUGUGUUUUCCAAGCAAACAAAGUGAGCAGGAAAUAUGAACUUCCUGAGCCAGUUGGCUUCCCGCUUUAAUAUGAGGCUUUGCCUUUUACAAGCGUGUUUAUCUUAUGUCUAAUUUUCUUAUUUAUAAUUAACUAUAUAUAUAAUAUGUUUUAUAUGUAUAUACACACACACACACACAAGUAUAUAGGUUUGAUCUAAUUCUAUUUUCUCUUUUUUUCCUUUUGAAAUUGGGUCCUGAUAUUUUGCCUUUUGUUUCCCCAAGGCUCCUUUGUAGAAUCUUCCUGUUCAAUUUGAACUUCUGCAUCCUUUCUGUCGAGGAGCUCCUUGCUCAGAAUAACUUCUCCACACCUGGAACUUUGGUCUAGGAUUUCUUUUCACUUUUAGACACUUCCCUUGUCACGACUCGCAGAUGAGGUCUUAUCAGCUUUCCUCCUUGAGUUUUGCACAGCCAGGUCAUCCAGUGACCAGAUGUUUGCCUCUCUCCCCUCCCCCAUGCCCUCUCAGCACUGAAUAUACGGUUCUUUAGAGGAUGUCAUGCCCUCCCUGGGCCUUUCUCCUGGUGCAGUAACAGGAAUCCUGGAAAUGGCUGCCUUGAAUGCAGGGGCCACUAAGAUCUUGCCUCAACACUUAACCCAGAUCACCAGUAAUAACCCACCAGCCUCCCAGUCCUGAAACACUGCCUCUGCCGUGAGUGGAGAGGAGGGAGCCAGUCUUGAUGCCUGGAAGCAGCCACCCUUCCUCCUCUCCAGACACAGGUACUCCCUGUAUCAGGAAGAGAGCCUCCUGGAAACCGAUCAGUCUUGGUUUCCCUCUUUAUUCUCUCCUCACCCACCCACUUCUCUAGCCUAGCACUUUCAUUCAUUCAUUAUACACUUAUAAACACCGACUAUGUGCCCGGCAAUGUGCUAGAUUACCGUCAAGUCAGCAGUCACGGUAGAGAGUGCUAAAUGCUGAAAUAGGGGCCAAAGCCAAGGUUUGGUUGUUUCUUGUUUUUGUUUUUUUAAUAUUAUUGUUGUUCAGUUGCUAAGUUGUAUCUGACUCUUUGCAGCCCCAUGGAGUGUAGCAAGCCAGGCUUCCCUGUCCUUCACUAUUUCCCUGAGUUUGCUCAAACCCACGACCAUUGUUGGUGAUGCUGUCUAACCAUCUCAUCCUCUACUGUCCCCUUCUCCUUUUGCCUUCAAUCUUUCCCACCAUCCAGGUGUUUUCCAGUGAUUUUGUUUAUUUACUUUUGGCUGUGCUGGGUCUUCAUUGCUGCACAGGCUUUCCUCUGUUUGUAGCGAGAGAAGGCCGCUGUUUAGUUGCAGCAUGCAGGCUUCUCAAUGCUGUGUCUUCUCUUAUUGCAGAGCACGGGCAUCCUGGAUCAGGGAUCAAACCUGUUUCUCCUGUGUUGGCAGGCAGACUCUUUAGCACUGAGCCAUCAGGGAAGCCAGUUAAUUUUAUAUUUUGAUCGUACCAGGUGGCAUGCAGGAUCUUAGCUCCCUGACCAGAAAGCAGACCUGCCUCCCUGCAGUGGAAGUGUGAAGUUUUAACCAUUGGCCCACCAUCAAAGUCCCAGUAAAGACUUCAAGUCUGUAAAAGGAAGCUCAGUGAGGGAUCCACAGAAAAGUCACUUCAGCUGAAUUUUGAUGGAUUGUUUGCAGUUCAGCAGUGAACAGUCUCCAUUCUGCCUCAAUUGCAUCAGAGGACUUCUGGCAGGGAAGUAGACUUGGUCAGAUCCUCAGUAGAAGAACCUGGCAGACACCACCUUAAGGUGGUGAUCAAAUAAACAUCCCAAUGUUGUUACUGGUACUGGUGCC